Molecule: non-coding RNA, 24 nt
Filed under: Arabidopsis thaliana (thale cress)
Lineage: Eukaryota; Viridiplantae; Streptophyta; Magnoliopsida; Brassicales; Brassicaceae
Source: RNAcentral
UGAACCAAUCUACCCACAAGUGAC